GUUUCGCUCACUGAAACUUGAUCACAAACUCUCCCAGAAUUGGCACCCAGCCACUUGGCUAAAAAACAUGUUCCAACCAACCAGUUAAAGAUGAGAAAGUUCCUCUUUCCUGUUUGUGUGAGUUUUGUACAGCUUCCUGUGAUACCACAUUGUGUCUGCCCGAAGAAGCCAUCUCUGAAUGUUCUGUAUGUGAUCUGAACCUGUUUGAACAGAUCCUCCCCAUUGUCCUGCCUGGAUAAGAGCCGCGUAACCUCCUGGCACAGAAUCUUCAGCAGUCCGUUAUUCGACAGAAAACAGGCAGCGUCGCAGACUGAAUCGUGAAUAUAUUCAGAACCAGACUCUCCUCAACCUCUUGGGCAGUGAAUUCCAAAGACUCACCAACCUUUGGGUGAAGACAUUUCUCAUCAUCUCGGUCCUGAAUGGUUGAGGCUUUAUUUUUCUGUGACUCCGAUUUCUGGACACCCCAGUUGGAAGAACCAGCACACCUCUGUCAAUUUUGUACCUUUUGAUGAGAUCAUCUCUUCUUCUAGAUUCAGUCUGCUUAAUCUCUUCUCAAAGGACAAACCUGUCAGUCCAUGAAUCAAACUCAUGGACCUUCACUUCACUCUUUCUGUACCAGACUUGCACACAUUGUUCCAAACACAGUCUUACCAGAGCUGUAGCUAAUUGAAACAAGAUGUCUCGACUCUUAGACUCAAAUGCUUAUGUAAUAAAGACCGAUGUACUGUUUGCCAUUAUAA
Long non-coding RNA from Pristis pectinata (smalltooth sawfish), 740 nucleotides. RefSeq lists it as uncharacterized. The transcript is spliced from 2 exons. Lineage: Eukaryota; Metazoa; Chordata; Chondrichthyes; Rhinopristiformes; Pristidae. The record is from RefSeq and is a predicted model, not a curated record.